GUGAAGGCUCGGGUAGUGAAAAUCAAGAGAAAAACCAUGGGAGAAAGGAAGAAAUUCUUGUCUUUUUCUUCCAUUUCACCCAUAUUUUGAUGCUUAGAAUCUCAAAGGCAUACAUGCACACAUGUUUUAAGGAGUGAUUCAAGGGCAUUUGGAGAAAUAUCAAGUGGGUUUCAAGAUUCAAAAGAAAUAAGGUAAGAAUUUUAAUGUUUGCUUGAAUAAUCUUUGGAAAUGAGUAGGUAAUUGUGUAAGUAUGUUUGUGGCAACAACGGUGGCCAUAGGCGUGAAGAAAUUGUGAACUUGUGUGUGGAACCUAAGCAAAAACCAAGAGGUAACAAGUGAUAGGCGAUUAGAAUUAGCUAGAUACGCGCCCGAAUCAAUAGCGAUGAAGCAUCUUGUUAUUGUAAGAUAAGUGAUCAGUGCAGGCGUGUCGUCCAAUGGAUCUAACUUUGCUACAACGUAGGCUUGUUCGGGAUUUGGAGGGUUUACUCGCAAGUCUCAGACACCGGUAACGAUCAGGAUAGAGGUCGUUACAAACCUGCUGAGAGGACUCCAACUUUUGAAUCUCCUAGUAGAACUCCUUGGGCUUUUUGAUUGCACUAUCAUCUACACAUUCGUGGGUAAAAGUCAUCUUUGUGGAAGCCAGGAGCAAUUAAAUUCAAGGUUGAUAUGGUUUGGCUCAUGGGGACCAUAUUUAGUGACUGGCUGUCAUUGUAAGUUUGUUGCUUUAUUGGGACUUCAUAUUUUUUUCCUGUUUGUCCUUUUGUUUGGAUAGUUUUUAAAUUGUGGUAUCUGUUGAUGAAUUGAUGUGAAAUUCUUAUGGUGUUUGUUGAUGGACAACUUAGAAAUUUACAGUCUUUGUCAAUGAACAACUUUGUUUGCUUUUCUUUUA
Long non-coding RNA from Theobroma cacao (cacao), 889 nucleotides. RefSeq lists it as uncharacterized. Lineage: Eukaryota; Viridiplantae; Streptophyta; Magnoliopsida; Malvales; Malvaceae. The record is from RefSeq and is a predicted model, not a curated record.